CCUUCCGCAUAUUGGUAUUGGCAAGUGGCAACGCACCAGCGUGCCGCCUACGUAUUCGCCAAUCGCCAUAGACGGCGAGUGUGGCUGUGGCCUCUCAAAGACUAGCAUUUUUUGGCAGAACGCGAGUACAGGCUAAAAGAAAGAAAGUGCGAACAAAAUCGAUCCUGCAGUGGCGCGAAGAUCUGCAUCGAAGAGAACUGAACUCGGACCUCGGGGAUGGGAGGCGUGAGAGGCCUUAAAUUGGCAUCAUUCGCAGGUCACAGCUCCGGCCACCAAAAGGCUGGGGGCUUCUUCAGUUGUUGGCUCAUGAGCUCCCCAUGCCUUGCCUGCCUGACUGACAGUGUGAGGCACAGCCACCUGCGGUAGCAGUGCGCUGUGCCUGUGAGCAGCGGCAGUUCCUGAGCUGCGGUGGCGGUACUGCAGUGCCGCGGCCCGCUCUCUGCAGCACCGCCAGGGUUCCUGCGGCUACUGACCCCCUCAUUAUGCUUCCCGGCUUCCCGCAGCUCACAGAGCGGUGUUCUUCCUACUGUAAUCUAUUUAUUAUUUGGCAACCGGAGACACAGUGAAGACAGGGCAUCGACAUGCAUGUCAUGAUGAACGCGGUAGUACGAGCAAGCCUGCAGAGUCAACUGCUCUCCUGCUUCGUCACAGCCAGCCUCACAGCUGCAUCCAGGCUCGCUGCUGAGGAUCCAUCCAGUCUCCGGGACAUCUUGCAGCUGGUAGGGAUCGCCACGCCGUUGGUGUUGCAGAGGAAGAAAUUGCCUAGAGAAGAUCUUGCGCCACCCCGUUCAACCAAAGUGGUGGCUACUGACAGAACCAAAGGGCAGUAAAUGAAAAUCUCAGGUCAACAAACAUACAAGUCCAACAAGAGUAGUGUGUCCCCAUCCCCAAGCAACAUAACCUGCACUGGUAUGGUAUCUCGACCCGGAGCGCAUGCUGCAACAAACAGCUGCCAAUGCAAAAAACAGUUGAUUAUCAUUUUAAAGCAUAAAACUAGCAAAACGAACGCCAGAUGAAAGCUGAAGUCAAGAAAAAUGAUACACCAGCACGCGUACAAGCGCAGCGUAACUGGUCGUCUGCAGCCACGGCAUUGGAGAAACGAUGUCAUCGAAUAAAAGUAGUGGUCACAUUUCAGAUACGAGAUUAUCCCUAAUUAUUAUGAGAACCUGUUUUUUAUUUGGACGAUGCCAGUCGACUUUUGGCAUGUGAAUCCCAUUUGCAUUACCUUGGCACCUUUGUAAAUUGUGUGAGCUCGUAGAUCUUGGAAUAGAACAACAAAUUAUCUUUGCUAGCAUGUGUGUUUCUUUAGAUUGUCCAUGGAUUGUCUGUUAGCAAUAUUAUUAAUUAACAUCAUGAACAUAAUUACAAAUAAAAAACGUGUACCCCUGAAUAUGA
This is a long non-coding RNA of Zea mays, 1395 nucleotides long. RefSeq lists it as uncharacterized. The record is from RefSeq and is a predicted model, not a curated record. The transcript has 4 exons. Lineage: Eukaryota; Viridiplantae; Streptophyta; Magnoliopsida; Poales; Poaceae.